This is a long non-coding RNA of Colias croceus (clouded yellow), 200 nucleotides long. RefSeq lists it as uncharacterized. The transcript is spliced from 4 exons. The record is from RefSeq and is a predicted model, not a curated record. Lineage: Eukaryota; Metazoa; Arthropoda; Insecta; Lepidoptera; Pieridae.
CUUCAUUUUGUGCUCGAGGAAGGUAAUGCAUUCAUAAUAGACUGAAAUCCUCAAUGGUGCCUCUAUGCUCAGCCCGCUAUGAAAAAACAGAACCACAGAUUAACUGUAUUAUUUGUUUUAUUAAUUUGUCAGAAUGCGUUUUCCGAAGGAGGCUGUACCGAAGAUCAUAUUUCUCAAUAUUUUCAGACGAAUAAUAAUAA